UACGUAGGCAGCGAGCGUUGUUCGGAAUUACUGGGCGUAAAGAGUGUGUAGGCGGUGCUCUAAGUUCGGUGUGAAAUCUCCUGGCUUAACUGGGAGGGUGCGCCGGAAACUGGAGUGCUCGAACGUGGGAGAGGAAAGCGGAAUUCCUGGUGUAGCGGUGAAAUGCGUAGAUAUCGAGAGGAACACCUGCGGCGAAGGCGGGUUGCUGGGCUGACACUGACGCUGAACUGCGAAAGCUAGGGGAGCGAACGGG
Molecule: ribosomal RNA, 253 nt
Filed under: uncultured bacterium
Lineage: Bacteria
Description: partial 16S ribosomal RNA
Rfam family: Bacterial small subunit ribosomal RNA
Source: RNAcentral